Molecule: ribosomal RNA, 836 nt
Filed under: uncultured bacterium
Lineage: Bacteria
Description: bacterial SSU rRNA
Rfam family: Bacterial small subunit ribosomal RNA
Source: RNAcentral
AGUCGAGCGGGGAGGUUGCUUCGGUAACUGACCUAGCGGCGGACGGGUGAGUAAUGCAUAGGAAUCUGCCUAUUAGUGGGGGACAACAUUCCGAAAGGGAUGCUAAUACCGCAUACGUCCUACGGGAGAAAGCAGGGGAUCAUUUGACCUUGCGCUAAUAGAUGAGCCUAAGUCGGAUUAGCUAGUUGGUGGGGUAAAGGCCUACCAAGGCGACGAUCUGUAGCGGGUCUGAGAGGAUGAUCCGCCACACUGGGACUGAGACACGGCCCAGACUCCUACGGGAGGCAGCAGUGGGGAAUAUUGGACAAUGGGGGGAACCCUGAUCCAGCCAUGCCGCGUGUGUGAAGAAGGCCUUUUGGUUGUAAAGCACUUUAUUCGAGGAGGAGGCUUACCUGGUUAAUACCUGGGAUAAGUGGACGUUACUCCCACAAUAAGCACCGGCUAACUCUGUGCCACCAGCCGCGGUAAUACAGAGGGUGCGAGCGUUAAUCGGAUAUACUGGGCGUAAAGCGCGCGUAUGUGGCUAAUUAAGUCAAAUGUGAAAUCCCCGAGCUUAACUUGGGAAUUGCAUUCGAUACUGUUUGGCUAGAGUAUGGGAGAGGAUGGUAAUAAUUCCUGGUGUAUCGGUGAAAUGCGUAGAGAUCUGGAAGAGUACCGAUGGCGAAGGCAGCCAUCUGGCCUAAUACUAGACACUGAGGUGCGAAAGCAUGGGGAGCAACACAGGAUUAUAUACACUCGUAGUUCUAUGCCGUAAACGAUGUCUACUAGCCGUUGGGGGGAUUCUGAUCCUUUUAUUGGAGGCAGCUAACGCGAAUAGUAGACCGCCCUGGGGAGUA